UUGACCUCACAUCAGG
Molecule: ribosomal RNA, 16 nt
Filed under: Russula kanadii
Lineage: Eukaryota; Fungi; Basidiomycota; Agaricomycetes; Russulales; Russulaceae
Description: partial 28S ribosomal RNA
Source: RNAcentral